RNAcentral lists this ribosomal RNA (305 nucleotides) under uncultured bacterium. RNAcentral describes it as "bacterial SSU rRNA". It matches the Rfam family "Bacterial small subunit ribosomal RNA", at positions 335 to 634 of the family's 1533-position model. The record is from RNAcentral.
UGCCUACGGGGCGCAGCAGUAGGGAAUUUUCGUCAAUGGGCGCAAGCCUGAACGAGCAAUGCCGCGUGAACGAGGAAGGUCUUCGGAUCGUAAAGUUCUGUUGAAGGGGAAAAAGAGCGGAGAGAGGAAAUGGUCUCCGAUUGAUAUUACCCUUCGAGGAAGUCACGGCUAACUACGUGCCAGCAGCCGCGGUAAUACGUAGGUGGCGAGCGUUAUCCGGAAUGAUUGGGCGUAAAGGGUGCGCAGGCGGAAUAACAAGUCUGAAGUAAAAGGCAUUGGCUUAACCAAUGUAUGCUAUGGAAACU